This 529-nucleotide unclassified non-coding RNA is filed under the name Hevea brasiliensis (rubber tree). The record is from RNAcentral. Lineage: Eukaryota; Viridiplantae; Streptophyta; Magnoliopsida; Malpighiales; Euphorbiaceae.
GCUCUCUCUACUACAGCCACCACACCAUCCAUUGAUGGUUUAUCACACCAUUGAUGAACAAUACCAAAACUGCCAGUUAUGGCCACCAUAGAAAUAUAAAAGAAUAUAUUUAUAUAUAUGGGGUUAAAGAAAAUUUCAUAUGCUCACAAUGCAUGCUUUUCUGCAUCACUUCUGGAAAACUUUGAAGUAUGAAAUUUUUCUGAAUGAAAAAAAGUUAGCAAGAAAUAUUCCAAAUUUCUCAAGUUCACAAUGACCUUCGGGGGGACAAAAAAACUUAAAAAUAUUUUGCACUUGUUUGUAGUAAUAAUUAAUAAAGAGUGCUUAGCGUCCAGAUGUGAAACAUGGCACUCUAUGUGAUUUCUAUGUGAUUUUAAUCAUUGCAGCCAAAUAACAAAAGAAAAAUCAUUCUCCCAAAAUUAUUUUUCAAUUAAAUAUUUUCCAUAAUUCUACAAAAAAAAUUCAGCCAAACAUUGGAAAAAUAUUUUUACAUUAUGAGAUAUAAAAAUUUUUCAAUUAAAUAUUUUCCAUA